GUGGGGGCUCCGCGGGGUCGCGCCGGGCCCCGCAGAGAGAGCGCGGUGGGAAGAGCGGGGCGAGUAAUGAAUUCCAGCGGAGAGCCGAGGAGGAAGCGCCUUUCCGAGCUCUGCCAUAUUUAACAUUGACCACACUAAAGAUGUUAUUAGCGAAGGGGGGGCGGGAAGGGCAACGGGGAAUGUGAUAAGGGAAAAUAGAUAAUGACACAUAAUCCAAACCAGAAGUUUGAAACCAAGUUACUUCGCAGGAAAAGAGCCACAAGCUCUACUUCUCUCUCUCUCUUUUUUUUUUUUUUUUUUUUUUUUUUUUUUUUUUUUUUUUAAUGGACCGGGGCAGGAGGACAGGGAGAUAAACUUGUUAGGGAAAGAAAUACUCCUCUGGCAACCGGGUAAAUAAAAUAGCUGAGGAGAAACAGUGAAAGACAUGGGGGUAGGGAAACGCAAAGGACGCACUCCUAUUUAGAAACCCCAAAGGAAAUUGUAAAGUAGGAAAUGAAAAGGAGGAGGAGAAACAUUUCUGUGGUAAAUUAGAGGGAAUGAAGAUUAGCGGGAGAAGAGGGGGAAAGAGCUGCAGAAGAUCUCGAAUCGAACAGCGCUGAAGAUGAGCCAAUGUUUAAAAUAUCCCAAGUGAGGAAAGAGAGCGGUGCGCUCAUCUCCUCGGCAUGGGCGUGCGAGGGGGAAAUGAGCAGGGAUAAUUACUAAGAUAGCACAUGGCCGGAGGAGCCAAUCCAAAAUAAGAGGUGAAUUUGGCUGCUGAGGACAGACGUGAAAAGAGCUGGAAGAGAACUGGAGGGAAUUAGGGGAGGAGAAAGGCUCCGAGAGCACAGGGAAACUUCAAGGAGCGGCUGGAUGGGGAGGAAACAACCACGGCAGAGAUGGGGAGAGAGCCUGAAAGUGUGGGAGCGAGUAGAAGGGAGAGACUGGGGAGAGCAAAUCAACCUGGAAGAGGGAGAGGGAACGGUGGGAGCGGAUGGGGAGAAAGAAGGCAGGAGCGGAAAAGUGGGAGAGAGGGAAGGAGGGACGGAGGGAGGGAUGUGGGGAGAGAGGGAAGGAGGCAGAGGGAGGAGACAAGGGCUGAAGGCUCCCAGCCCGGGGAAGGUGCAGCGCUGAGUGAGAGAGCUCACUCCGAGGGUUAGGUUGGAUUUCCAGAGCUCUUAGAGCUCAUCGACCAGCCCGCUGGAGUCACUAUUCAACCCGACUCCCAAACACACGCCUCACUAACUACUUUACAGCCACUUUCAUUGAUUUUCUUUAUCAAAUAAACAUAAUACCCGUUACAGCAACACUUCCUCUUCGCGCAGCCAGAAUGCCACAAGCUCUGAUUGCUGCAUUUCUCCGGCUUGCAGCUCCCCACCCUCCACCCCUAAAUAAAUUGUGUUCUUUCACUUAAAUGCUCAAAUACAUUAUUGCUCGCAGAAUUUUGCUGUAAUCUGGGAAGUGCACUGCGAGCCAGGCGAGCCGCUUAAAUUAAAAGGUUCAGGGUCCCCAUACCCACGCCUUGGCGUGGAGGCACACGUUUGUUCCCCCCGUUUCAGGAGUAUCAUAGGUAUUUACAUACUUAUUUUCUGCUAAUAAGCGGUAACUUAAUUUAGAGGGCGAUGUCAAAGUGAGCGUUCCCGCCUGAAAAAUACAGAAAAGAAUUAACGCAACUCGAGCAGCUGCACCCAAACUGUCACUUGAUUUGAGCAUCUCAGCCUCCAAACUCAAUUUUAUUAAAAAAAAAAAAAAUCCCCUAAAAGUAGCCCCCUUCAAAAGCUGUUUUUGAACCAGGCUCUUCCAUAUAUGUCAAAGGGCUGUUGAAUUAUUCAUUAUUAUAAUUACUAUCAUCAUUGUCAUUAUCCCUUUCCAUGUGGAAAUAAUUUUAUUAUCGUAAUUUGAUAUCUGAAGAAUUUCCUGUUAGUCGUUUGAUAAUCAUUUUUUUUCUACUGAAAAGAAAAGUUUUGUUUAUAAAUGAGAGAAAAAUAUUUUAAAUGCUUUUAUGUUUGCCAUAGAUUUCCGUUUAUCUAAUCGAUUGGGAUGCCAAUAAAUCGAUUAAAGGUUUAGUGUUUUACAAACAACCAUUUUGUGCUUUUUGAUUUUACGUUCAGAAUGAUUUUAAUAAAGCUAAUACCUUCUCUGGGCGUCUGUUCACCCCAAACCUAAUAUUCCUUCAUUUCUAUUAUUUACAGUUGCAAUUUAAAGUGUUUCUAAUGAGAAAAAUAAACGCGAAUAAAAGGAGGAAAUCAUCUGUAUAAAUUACUUUGUGCCUGUGGUCAGCGUAUUUAGGCAAAGCCCUUAAAAAUCUUGGUGAAUUAUAUGCGAUCAUACAGUGAUUGCGGAAUAUUAAAUUAAACUUAGAUAAAUCCGCAUUGAAGGAGGCAGCACCCAAUCCUGAAUUUAUUUCCCAUUUUCUAUAACAGCAUCACUGCGCUCCUCUCUUUGCAAUGACAAUGUGCCAAAUCUAGGCAUUUUGAAAACAUUUUCCAUAUGCUUUAACUGGAGACUGAUAGACAAAGAAGAAAAGGAGAUGGUCUUUUUUCUCUUGAGGAGAGACUGUAAAAUUUUUCCCUUGGAUAUAUCACCGCUGGAAAUAUGCUCUUGGGCUUUCUGAAGGGGAUGGGGGGGAGCGCGGCGGUAAGCGGUCGUUUUCCUCGAUUUGCAUAAGAGCGAGAGAAGUGCCUGUGAAGUUGGUGAAUUGCUAUUGUUUGGGGCCAGUCCUGACUGUUUUUGUUUAUAAACACUGGGGUGGUUGCCGGGAGGGGAGGGAGGUCAGAACGCUGUCAAAGCGCUGACCUCUGAAAGCCCAGAGGGCGCCUGGCUCCUUCACCCGCUCCUUUCUCUCUCUCCCUCUCCCUUUUUCUUUCCCUUCCCAUCCAAGGCCAGGAGCUCAGGUUCAGGGCAUUUAAUCCCCGCGAUCUGCCCAAGAAAGGAGCUGAAAAAGGGCUGUUAAGGCUGCGGAGGAAGCGCCGGCAGCAGGCUCAGACCUGGGAGGCUUUUAUUUAUAGUAACGUCCGGGUGCGCGUUUUGUGCGGCUCCAGCCAAAAUAACAACAGCAGCAAGAAAAAAAAAAAGAAAAAGAAAAAAAAGGCAAACGGGACCGGCACUGUUUAGCUCAGAAUGUUAUGGAGGUGUCUGUGCUGUGCUCGGGUGUGAUUUUUUGUCUUAGGUGACCGCUCGUUGGGUGCACUUGCGGGAGGUGAAUGCCAAACGUGGGGUAGCGGGGGCAGGAUCGUACCGCGGUGUAUUGUUGCUAGUUUAUUUCUUUUGCGAACAAAACUUUCUAGGAAUCGGAGAGGGGAUUUGGGGUCGCUUUUCCUCUGACCUCCCUCCAACCCCCCCUUCACCCCUCCCCCCCUCACCCCCCCAGCCCUUAUUGAGUGUACCGGAAUGUGUUUGGGGGGGGGGGGGGGGGAGGGCAUUAACAAUAGAUUUGUAUGACUGAUACCUGCAAAGAAAGAAAUAAUUAAUAAGAGCCAAACGCCUUGGGUUCAGAGUCAAUUUCAUCUCGGGGAAGGAAAAGAAAUAAAAAAAAAAAAAGUACAAGAGAUUGCUAUCAGGUUUAAGUAUGUUUUGAAAAGAAGUUGCUGAGUUAAACAAAAAUGUUAGUUAACACAGUGCCUUUGUCAAAUAGCCCCCGGGAGGAGAAGAGACAACAAAAAGGAGAGGCGGUGGGGGCUGGGGAUCUGAAAGUGUCUGUGCCUCAGAUAAAGGGUCUGUAACGCUGCAAUCUUGUAAUACCUCGUUUCAAACUGAGCUCAUCUAUAGACUUAGGGAACGCAGUCAAAAGACACGGAUCCCCUUUCCCUUGGGCUGGGGUCUGGGGAGAGGAGGAGGUGGGGGGAAAGGGGACGUUUAUUAGAGAAUUAUGUCGCUUUAUUAAAAAGGGGAGCGGCUGUGGCUGUAAUUAUGCAGAUCCUGUGCCCCUAUAUGUCCGCAGCGCAGAUUUAGGGAGUGAAAUGAGCUUGGAGGAGAGUCGCGGUGGAACAGAGCCCGCUCCGGGCUGGGAUCUCUUUGUCUAUCACAGAAUGGUCAGCGUCGGGCUCCGGCCCGCACCAGCUCCCCCUCAGCCAGGCCAAUAAGUUUUCCUUGGGGCUGAGCUGGAGGUGGCAGGAGGACAGAGCGGGCUGUUUUGUUUGGGCUCUUUAUGAUUUUUCUCCCCCUUUCCUCUCUUUGAAACGUAACGUCAUUAUCAGAGCUUUUGUGGUUUCAACAGGAGGCUCGGAAAGGAGGAAAAAAAAAAAAAAAAAAAUCCCCAAACGUGGUGUAACGGUGCCUGCAGGAGAAGUUCGGAGGGGGUGGGCGGGGGGUCCGCCGAGCCCGGAGGAGAGGAGCUGAGAGGUUAG
This is a long non-coding RNA of Gallus gallus (chicken), 4322 nucleotides long. Lineage: Eukaryota; Metazoa; Chordata; Aves; Galliformes; Phasianidae. The record is from Ensembl.